GGCUAGUGCUAGUUAUCAAAUUUGACCUCCCCUAUAUCAUGCAGGAAGGUACAUGUACAUGGAUGUUUAAAAAAUUCCACAAAUGGUGAAGAAAAUGGCAAGGGAAGACGCCUGGUAAAUGUUUCAAGUAAAAUUCAGCAAUUGAGUUUCUGGAAAGCCAAGCAUACAUAACCAAAGGAUAUUUUCAUAGAAUGGACUUCUGUAGGCCAAAAAAAUAAAGACAAUGUCAAGAAGAGUGACAUUUAGAAGAAAGAACAUUCAAUUGAUAAUGUUAUUAUGUCAACAACAAAAACAUAAAAAGUUGAUUGUAACGUUUUGAGAAUGCUGUAAAAAAAAGUAGAGUGAAAUCAAAA
This is a long non-coding RNA of Mytilus trossulus (common blue mussel), 353 nucleotides long. RefSeq lists it as uncharacterized. NCBI's taxonomy places the organism in Eukaryota, Metazoa, Mollusca, Bivalvia, Mytilida, Mytilidae. The record is from RefSeq and is a predicted model, not a curated record. The transcript is spliced from 3 exons.